UACGUAGGGUGCAAGCGUUAAUCGGAAUUACUGGGCGUAAAGCGUACGCAGGCGGCUUUGCAAGACAGGUGUGAAAUCCCCGAGCUUAACUUGGGAAUUGCGCUCGAAACUACGUGGCUCGAGUGUGGCAGAGGAAGGUGGAAUUCCACGUGUAGCGGUGAAAUGCGUAGAGAUGUGGAGGAACACCGAUGGCGAAGGCAGCCUUCUGGGCCAACACUGACGCUCAUGCACGAAAGCGUGGGGAGCAAACAGG
RNAcentral lists this ribosomal RNA (253 nucleotides) under uncultured bacterium. RNAcentral's name for it is "partial 16S ribosomal RNA". It matches the Rfam family "Bacterial small subunit ribosomal RNA", at positions 524 to 776 of the family's 1533-position model. The record is from RNAcentral.